GGGUUGUGAGGUUAAGCGACUAAGCGUACACGGUGGAUGCCCUGGCAGUCAGAGGCGAUGAAGGACGUGCUAAUCUGCGAUAAGCGUCGGUAAGGUGAUAUGAACCGUUAUAACCGGCGAUUUCCGAAUGGGGAAACCCAGUGUGUUUCGACACACUAUCAUUAACUGAAUCCAUAGGUUAAUGAGGCGAACCGGGGGAACUGAAACAUCUAAGUACCCCGAGGAAAAGAAAUCAACCGAGAUUCCCCCAGUAGCGGCGAGCGAACGGGGAGCAGCCCAGAGCCUGAAUCAGUGUGUGUGUUAGUGGAAGCGUCUGGAAAGGCGCGCGAUACAGGGUGACAGCCCCGUACACAAAAAUGCACAUGCUGUGAGCUCGAUGAGUAGGGCGGGACACGUGGUAUCCUGUCUGAAUAUGGGGGGACCAUCCUCCAAGGCUAAAUACUCCUGACUGACCGAUAGUGAACCAGUACCGUGAGGGAAAGGCGAAAAGAACCCCGGCGAGGGGAGUGAAAAAGAACCUGAAACCGUGUACGUACAAGCAGUGGGAGCACGCUUAGGCGUGUGACUGCGUACCUUUUUGUAUAAUGGGUCAGCGACUUAUAUUCUGUAGCAAGGUUAACCGAAUAGGGGAGCCGAAGGGAAACCGAGUCUUAACUGGGCGUUAAGUUGCAGGGUAUAGACCCGAAACCCGGUGAUCUAGCCAUGGGCAGGUUGAAGGUUGGGUAACACUAACUGGAGGACCGAACCGACUAAUGUUGAAAAAUUAGCGGAUGACUUGUGGCUGGGGGUGAAAGGCCAAUCAAACCGGGAGAUAGCUGGUUCUCCCCGAAAGCUAUUUAGGUAGCGCCUCGUGAAUUCAUCUCCGGGGGUAGAGCACUGUUUCGGCAAGGGGGUCAUCCCGACUUACCAACCCGAUGCAAACUGCGAAUACCGGAGAAUGUUAUCACGGGAGACACACGGCGGGUGCUAACGUCCGUCGUGAAGAGGGAAACAACCCAGACCGCCAGCUAAGGUCCCAAAGUCAUGGUUAAGUGGGAAACGAUGUGGGAAGGCCCAGACAGCCAGGAUGUUGGCUUAGAAGCAGCCAUCAUUUAAAGAAAGCGUAAUAGCUCACUGGUCGAGUCGGCCUGCGCGGAAGAUGUAACGGGGCUAAACCAUGCACCGAAGCUGCGGCAGCGACGCUUAUGCGUUGUUGGGUAGGGGAGCGUUCUGUAAGCCUGUGAAGGUGUACUGUGAGGUAUGCUGGAGGUAUCAGAAGUGCGAAUGCUGACAUAAGUAACGAUAAAGCGGGUGAAAAGCCCGCUCGCCGGAAGACCAAGGGUUCCUGUCCAACGUUAAUCGGGGCAGGGUGAGUCGACCCCUAAGGCGAGGCCGAAAGGCGUAGUCGAUGGGAAACAGGUUAAUAUUCCUGUACUUGGUGUUACUGCGAAGGGGGGACGGAGAAGGCUAUGUUGGCCGGGCGACGGUUGUCCCGGUUUAAGCGUGUAGGCUGGUUUUCCAGGCAAAUCCGGAAAAUCAAGGCUGAGGCGUGAUGACGAGGCACUACGGUGCUGAAGCAACAAAUGCCCUGCUUCCGGGAAAAGCCUCUAAGCAUCAGGUAACAUCAAAUCGUACCCCAAACCGACACAGGUGGUCAGGUAGAGAAUACCAAGGCGCUUGAGAGAACUCGGGUGAAGGAACUAGGCAAAAUGGUGCCGUAACUUCGGGAGAAGGCACGCUGAUAUGUAGGUGAAGUCCCUCGCGGAUGGAGCUGAAAUCAGUCGAAGAUACCAGCUGGCUGCAACUGUUUAUUAAAAACACAGCACUGUGCAAACACGAAAGUGGACGUAUACGGUGUGACGCCUGCCCGGUGCCGGAAGGUUAAUUGAUGGGGUCAGCGCAAGCGAAGCUCUUGAUCGAAGCCCCGGUAAACGGCGGCCGUAACUAUAACGGUCCUAAGGUAGCGAAAUUCCUUGUCGGGUAAGUUCCGACCUGCACGAAUGGCGUAAUGAUGGCCAGGCUGUCUCCACCCGAGACUCAGUGAAAUUGAACUCGCUGUGAAGAUGCAGUGUACCCGCGGCAAGACGGAAAGACCCCGUGAACCUUUACUAUAGCUUGACACUGAACAUUGAGCCUUGAUGUGUAGGAUAGGUGGGAGGCUUUGAAGUGUGGACGCCAGUCUGCAUGGAGCCGACCUUGAAAUACCACCCUUUAAUGUUUGAUGUUCUAACGUUGACCCGUGAUCCGGGUUGCGGACAGUGUCUGGUGGGUAGUUUGACUGGGGCGGUCUCCUCCUAAAGAGUAACGGAGGAGCACGAAGGUUGGCUAAUCCUGGUCGGACAUCAGGAGGUUAGUGCAAUGGCAUAAGCCAGCUUGACUGCGAGCGUGACGGCGCGAGCAGGUGCGAAAGCAGGUCAUAGUGAUCCGGUGGUUCUGAAUGGAAGGGCCAUCGCUCAACGGAUAAAAGGUACUCCGGGGAUAACAGGCUGAUACCGCCCAAGAGUUCAUAUCGACGGCGGUGUUUGGCACCUCGAUGUCGGCUCAUCACAUCCUGGGGCUGAAGUAGGUCCCAAGGGUAUGGCUGUUCGCCAUUUAAAGUGGUACGCGAGCUGGGUUUAGAACGUCGUGAGACAGUUCGGUCCCUAUCUGCCGUGGGCGCUGGAGAACUGAGGGGGGCUGCUCCUAGUACGAGAGGACCGGAGUGGACGCAUCACUGGUGUUCGGGUUGUCAUGCCAAUGGCACUGCCCGGUAGCUAAAUGCGGAAGAGAUAAGUGCUGAAAGCAUCUAAGCACGAAACUUGCCCCGAGAUGAGUUCUCCCUGACCCUUUAAGGGUCCUGAAGGAACGUUGAAGACGACGACGUUGAUAGGCCGGGUGUGUAAGCGCAGCGAUGCGUUGAGCUAACCGGUACUAAUGAACCGUGAGGCUUAACCUUACAACGCCGAAG
RNAcentral lists this ribosomal RNA (2926 nucleotides) under Escherichia coli. Its description in RNAcentral is "23S ribosomal RNA". It matches the Rfam family "Bacterial large subunit ribosomal RNA". Lineage: Bacteria; Pseudomonadati; Pseudomonadota; Gammaproteobacteria; Enterobacterales; Enterobacteriaceae. The record is from RNAcentral.